AGAGUUCGAUUCUGGCUCAGAUUGAACGCUGGCGGCAGGCCUAACACAUGCAAGUCGAGCGGUAGAGAGAAGCUUGCUUCUCUUGAGAGCGGCGGACGGGUGAGUAAUGCCUAGGAAUCUGCCUGGUAGUGGGGGAUAACGUUCGGAAACGGACGCUAAUACCGCAUACGUCCUACGGGAGAAAGCAGGGGACCUUCGGGCCUUGCGCUAUCAGAUGAGCCUAGGUCGGAUUAGCUAGUUGGUGAGGUAAUGGCUCACCAAGGCGACGAUCCGUAACUGGUCUGAGAGGAUGAUCAGUCACACUGGAACUGAGACACGGUCCAGACUCCUACGGGAGGCAGCAGUGGGGAAUAUUGGACAAUGGGCGAAAGCCUGAUCCAGCCAUGCCGCGUGUGUGAAGAAGGUCUUCGGAUUGUAAAGCACUUUAAGUUGGGAGGAAGGGCAGUAAAUUAAUACUUUGCUGUUUUGACGUUACCGACAGAAUAAGCACCGGCUAACUCUGUGCCAGCAGCCGCGGUAAUACAGAGGGUGCAAGCGUUAAUCGGAAUUACUGGGCGUAAAGCGCGCGUAGGUGGUUUGUUAAGUUGGAUGUGAAAUCCCCGGGCUCAACCUGGGAACUGCAUUCAAAACUGACUGACUAGAGUAUGGUAGAGGGUGGUGGAAUUUCCUGUGUAGCGGUGAAAUGCGUAGAUAUAGGAAGGAACACCAGUGGCGAAGGCGACCACCUGGACUAAUACUGACACUGAGGUGCGAAAGCGUGGGGAGCGAACAGGAUUAGAUACCCUGGUAGUCCACGCCGUAAACGAUGUCAACUAGCCGUUGGAAGCCUUGAGCUUUUAGUGGCGCAGCUAACGCAUUAAGUUGACCGCCUGGGGAGUACGGCCGCAAGGUUAAAACUCAAAUGAAUUGACGGGGGCCCGCACAAGCGGUGGAGCAUGUGGUUUAAUUCGAAGCAACGCGAAGAACCUUACCAGGCCUUGACAUCCAAUGAACUUUCUAGAGAUAGAUUGGUGCCUUCGGGAACAUUGAGACAGGUGCUGCAUGGCUGUCGUCAGCUCGUGUCGUGAGAUGUUGGGUUAAGUCCCGUAACGAGCGCAACCCUUGUCCUUAGUUACCAGCACGUCAUGGUGGGCACUCUAAGGAGACUGCCGGUGACAAACCGGAGGAAGGUGGGGAUGACGUCAAGUCAUCAUGGCCCUUACGGCCUGGGCUACACACGUGCUACAAUGGUCGGUACAGAGGGUUGCCAAGCCGCGAGGUGGAGCUAAUCCCACAAAACCGAUCGUAGUCCGGAUCGCAGUCUGCAACUCGACUGCGUGAAGUCGGAAUCGCUAGUAAUCGCGAAUCAGAAUGUCGCGGUGAAUACGUAACCGGGCCUUGCACACACCGCCCGUC
This 1395-nucleotide ribosomal RNA is filed under the name uncultured bacterium. RNAcentral describes it as "bacterial SSU rRNA". It matches the Rfam family "Bacterial small subunit ribosomal RNA". The record is from RNAcentral.